Podarcis lilfordi (Lilford's wall lizard) is the source of this 85-nucleotide non-coding RNA. Lineage: Eukaryota; Metazoa; Chordata; Lepidosauria; Squamata; Lacertidae. The record is from the annotation of a GenBank genome assembly.
CCUGGGUCUAACUGCCAUUUUAAUUUCCCCUGAUGCAGCAGCUCUCGGUGAAUUAUGGGAAAUUAAAAUGGCAGUUAGACCCAGU